AGAGAGAGACAUGCGCGCAUAUCAAUAAGCGGAGGAAAAGUAACUAACUAGGAUUCCCUCAGUAACGGCGAGUGAAGCGGGAAGAGCUCAAAUUUGAAAUCUUCAAGGUUCUACCUUGACGAAUUGUAGUUUAAAGAAGUGUUUUCUGUUGGAGUUUUGGUAAAAGUUCUUUGGAAUAGGACAUCAUAGAGGGUGAGAAUCCCGUAUUUGACCAUUAUUUCCAGCUUUGUGAUACACUUUCAAAGAGUCGGAUUGUUUGGGAAUGCAGUCCAAAAUGGGUGGUAAAUUUCAUCUAAAGCUAAAUAUUGGCGAGAGACCGAUAGCGAACAAGUACCGUGAGGGAAAGAUGAAAAGAACUUUGAAAAGAGAGUUAAACAGUACGUGAAAUUGUCAAAAGGGAAGCGUGUGACACCAGUGUUGUUUUCUCGAAAAUCAAUUAAAAAGAGUUAGAUUUUGUUGUGUAUUGACCUUAUCAGCUUUGCACUUCAUUUUCUUGUCUUUUUUAAUGCACUUUUCGUUUAACAAGUCAACAUCAAUUUCUUUUGUUGUAAAAGGGUCAUUGGAAGGUGGCUUUCUUUUCGGAGAAAGUGUUUAUAGCCUUUGGCCUCUGCAAUCGGAGAGAUUGAGGUCUGCAGCGUAGAUCCUUCGGGGUUAGAUACAUUUGUGCUAAGUUAUAGCCUUUCAUAGACAACUUGUUGACUAUGAUCAGUCAUGUAGCUUACUCGCUUAUGCUAUUUUACCUACGCUUAGGAUGUUGAUGUGAUACUGCGAGC
RNAcentral lists this ribosomal RNA (773 nucleotides) under uncultured Neocallimastigales. RNAcentral describes it as "partial large subunit ribosomal RNA". It matches the Rfam family "Eukaryotic large subunit ribosomal RNA", at positions 23 to 637 of the family's 3401-position model. Lineage: Eukaryota; Fungi; Neocallimastigomycota; Neocallimastigomycetes; Neocallimastigales. The record is from RNAcentral.